This 222-nucleotide ribosomal RNA is filed under the name uncultured bacterium. Its description in RNAcentral is "partial 16S ribosomal RNA". It matches the Rfam family "Bacterial small subunit ribosomal RNA", at positions 524 to 744 of the family's 1533-position model. The record is from RNAcentral.
UACAGAGGGUGCGAGCGUUGUCCGGAAUCACUGGGCGUAAAGGGCGCGUAGGUGGUGGCUUAAGCGUGCGGUGAAAGCUCGGGGCUCAACUCCGAGUCGGCCGUGCGAACUGGGCUCACUGGAGCAUAGUAGAGGCAGGUGGAAUUCCGGGUGUAGCGGUGGAAUGCGUAGAGAUCCGGAGGAACACCUAUUGCGAAGGCAGCUCGCUGGACGUACGUUCAC